RNAcentral lists this ribosomal RNA (372 nucleotides) under uncultured prokaryote. Its description in RNAcentral is "bacterial SSU rRNA". It matches the Rfam family "Bacterial small subunit ribosomal RNA", at positions 524 to 896 of the family's 1533-position model. The record is from RNAcentral.
UACGUAGGGUGCGAGCGUUAAUCGGAAUUACUGGGCGUAAAGCGUGCGCAGGCGGCUUUACAAGACAGAUGUGAAAUUCCCGGGCUUAACCUGGGAACGGCAUUUGUGACUGUAUGGCUAGAGUACGGCAGAGGGAGAUGGAAUUCCGCGUGUAGCAGUGAAAUGUGUAGAUAUGCGGAGGAACACCGAUGGCGAAGGCAUUCUCCUGGGCCUGUACUGACGCUCAUGCACGAAAGCGUGGGGAGCAAACAGGAUUAGAUACCCUGGUAGUCCACGCCCUAAACGAUGUCAACUGGUUGUUGUACCUUUAUUGGUUCAGUAACGAAGCUAACGCGUGAAGUUGACCGCCUGGGGAGUACGGCCGCAAGGUUG